AAUGCGAGACAAACAUUCAAUGAGUCGCAUAUGUAUAAAUGAGGCUCACACCUCUUUGUCUCCUAACCAAACUGACCCCAGCGCAACGUUAUUUAUUUCUACGAGAAAGGUAACAAGCUAAGGAGAUGGAAGCAAAAAUGGCACUCAACAUCCUUUUCCUGCUCUCAAUUCUUCUCAUCCAGGGAUCCUACGUUGAAGGACUCGCACAUGCGUGCACUUAUAAUGACACAAGGCCCGUGUGCAAAGCGGUCAAAGCAAAAAUCAUGAAAAAGCAUGCGCGGCGAAUCUGUUCCGCCGCUCGAAGCCUGAGUUGUGAUCAAAUGCUACAGCACGACUACCCCGACUUCGAGAGCCAGAAAUAAGGGAUUUACUAAGCUGAGAAGAUGUUUUAAACUUUAAACUCGUAAAACGUUCUUUAGGUCUUUCAAAAUCUACCAGUAAAGCAAGUCCACAAAAAGAAAAGGA
This is a long non-coding RNA of Stylophora pistillata, 465 nucleotides long. RefSeq lists it as uncharacterized. NCBI's taxonomy places the organism in Eukaryota, Metazoa, Cnidaria, Anthozoa, Scleractinia, Pocilloporidae. The record is from RefSeq and is a predicted model, not a curated record.